UACUUCCUCCGUUUCACAAUGUAAGUCAUUCUAGCAUUUUCCACAUUCAUAUUGAUGUUAAUGAAUCUAUAUAGAUAUAUAUGUCUAGAUUCAUUAACAUCAAUAUGAAUGUGGAAAAUGCUAGAAUGACUUACAUUGUGAAACAGAGGGAGUAUUGUAGAAUUGA
This 166-nucleotide microRNA precursor is filed under the name Oryza sativa Japonica Group (Japanese rice). Its description in RNAcentral is "osa-MIR446". Lineage: Eukaryota; Viridiplantae; Streptophyta; Magnoliopsida; Poales; Poaceae. The record is from RNAcentral.